Molecule: ribosomal RNA, 442 nt
Filed under: uncultured bacterium
Lineage: Bacteria
Description: partial 16S ribosomal RNA
Rfam family: Bacterial small subunit ribosomal RNA
Source: RNAcentral
CCUACGGGGGGCUGCAGUGGGGAAUAUUGGGCAAUGGGCGCAAGCCUGACCCAGCAACGCCGCGUGAAGGAAGAAGGCCUUCGGGUUGUAAACUUCUUUUAAGAGGGAAGAGCAGAAGACGGUACCUCUUGAAAAAGCCACGGCCAACUACGUGCCAGCGGCCGCGGUAAAACGUAGGUGGCAAGGGUUUUCCGGAUUUGCUGGGUGUAAAGGGCGUGCUGCGGGGAAGACAAGGCGGAUGUGAAAUCCCGCGGCUCAACCCCGGAACUGCCUUUGAAACUGUUUUUCUUGAGUGCCGGAGAGGUCAGCGGAAUUCCUGGUGUAGCGGUGAAAUGCGUAGAUAUAAUGAAGAACACCAGUGGCGAAGGCGGAUGACUGGACGGCAACUGACGGUGAGGCACGAAAGCGUGGGGAGCAAACAGGAUUAGAUACCCCUGUAGUC